GUCCCCGCGCAGGGAGAAGCUGUCGUGCCGCUCCGAGCUCUACGGCGACGAGGACGAGAACUGGAGCAGCCCCCGGGGCUUCGCCGCCAGCAACCAAGGGGCCAACUGGGAAGGCGCCGAGACCCCCAACGUCUACGUCAGCCUGGCGAAGGUGGACACCGCGCAGAAGGUGAGGCCGGCGGCUCCCUCGGGGCGCCCGCGCGGGGGUCCCGGCCCUCACCCCCUCCUCUUCCUCCCCAGAUCCACAUCCAGAGGCCCUCCAGCAUCCUGCCCUGAGCGCAGCUGCCUGGGGAGGGGGCGGCCGGUCCCGGCGCCGGGAAACGAACCGGGGCGGGACGGGGCUGCCGUCCGCGUGCGACAGGCGUGGGAGCGCACCGCCGGCCCGGGGCACCCCCCGCGCCGCCCUUUCACCCCCUCCUGUUUGAUAGCGGAAUAAAAACGUUGAUUUUUAUCGCGUCCCGCUGUUUCCGCG
RNAcentral lists this long non-coding RNA (472 nucleotides) under Dromaius novaehollandiae (emu). Its description in RNAcentral is "lncRNA (ENSDNVG00000005507.1)". Lineage: Eukaryota; Metazoa; Chordata; Aves; Casuariiformes; Dromaiidae. The record is from RNAcentral.